RNAcentral lists this unclassified non-coding RNA (372 nucleotides) under uncultured Flavobacteriales bacterium. RNAcentral describes it as "contains 16S-23S intergenic spacer region". The record is from RNAcentral. Lineage: Bacteria; Pseudomonadati; Bacteroidota; Flavobacteriia; Flavobacteriales.
UCACCGCUUACACGGGCAGUUUCCCUAGAGUUCCCGGCAUUACCCGCUGGCAACUAGGGAUGGGGGUUGCGCUCGUUAUGGGACUUAACCCGACACCUCACGGCACGAGCUGACGACAGCCAUGCAGCACCUCGCACGCAGUCCGAAGAAGAGGACGUUUCCGCCCCUGUCUACGUGCGUUCGAGCCCUGGUAAGGUUCCUCGCGUAUCAUCGAAUUGAACCACAUGCUCCACCGCUUGUGCGGGCCCCCGUCAAUUCCUUUGAGUUUCAAUCUUGCGAUCGUACUCCCCAGGUGGAUCACUUAACGCUUUCGCUAGGUGACUGACCGUGUAUCGCCAAUCACGAGUGAUCAUCGUUUACGGCGUGGACUAC